UUUAAGCGUAGCCAUAAAUUUAUGUAUUCGACUUUGAUCGUCCGUCUUAUUUGAAUUUUUUAUGAUUAGUAUUUUUAUUGUUAUUAGAUGAUAAAACAUGAAUAGUACUUUACGCGUAACAUGCUUUUAACUUUUUUAAAAAAAUUCAAAUAGAAUGGACGAUUAAAGUUGGACAUGAAAACUCAUGAUUGCGCUUAAA
Oryza punctata is the source of this 199-nucleotide non-coding RNA. Lineage: Eukaryota; Viridiplantae; Streptophyta; Magnoliopsida; Poales; Poaceae. The record is from Rfam.